Molecule: ribosomal RNA, 253 nt
Filed under: uncultured bacterium
Lineage: Bacteria
Description: partial 16S ribosomal RNA
Rfam family: Bacterial small subunit ribosomal RNA
Source: RNAcentral
UACGUAGGGUGCAAGCGUUGUUCGGAAUUAUUGGGCGUAAAGAGCUCGUAGGCGGUUCGUCGCGUCGGCUGUGAAAUCCCGAGGCUCAACCUCGGGUCUGCAGUCGAUACGGGCGGACUGGAGUACUGCAGGGGAGACUGGAAUUCCUGGUGUAGCGGUGAAAUGCGCAGAUAUCAGGAGGAACACCGGUGGCGAAGGCGGGUCUCUGGGCAGUUACUGACGCUGAGGAGCGAAAGCGUGGGGAGCGAACAGG